AGUGAACGCUGGCGGUAGGCCUAACACAUGCAAGUCGAACGGCAGCACAGUAAGAGCUUGCUCUUACGGGUGGCGAGUGUCGGACGGGUGAGGAAUACAUCGGAAUCUACUUUUUCGUGGGGGAUAACGUAGGGAAACUUACGCUAAUACCGCAUACGACCUACGGGUGAAAGCAGGGGAUCUUCGGACCUUGCGCGAUUGAAUGAGCCGAUUUCGGAUUAGCUAGUUGGCGGGGUAAAGGCCCACCAAGGCGACGAUCCGUAGCUGGUCUGAGAGGAUGAUCAGCCAAACUGGAACUGAGACACGGUCCAGACUCCUACGGGAGGCAGCAGUGGGGAAUAUUGGACAAUGGGCGCAAGCAUGAUCCAGCAAUACCGCGUGGGUGAAGAAGGACUUCGGGUUGUAAAGCCCUUUUGUUGGGAAAGAAAAGAAGCAGGUUAAUACCCCGCUGUUCUGACGGUACCCAAAGAAUAAGCACCGGCUAACUUCGUG
RNAcentral lists this ribosomal RNA (492 nucleotides) under uncultured bacterium. RNAcentral describes it as "partial 16S ribosomal RNA". It matches the Rfam family "Bacterial small subunit ribosomal RNA", at positions 29 to 507 of the family's 1533-position model. The record is from RNAcentral.